GACGAACGCUGGCGGCGUGCUUAAUACAUGCAAGUCUUGGGGCUUUUACCUUCGGGUAAAGUCACUGGCGCACGGGUGAGUAACACGUAAGUUAUCUGCCCUCGGGUCUGGCAUAACUCCGGGAAACCGGAGCUAAUUCCAGAUGAUAUCGUAAGAUCAAAGAUUUUUCGCCCGAGGAUGAGCUUGCGUCUGAUUAGCUAGUUGGCGGGGUAAUGGCCCACCAAGGCGACGAUCAGUAGCCGGUCUGAGAGGAUGAUCGGCCACAUUGGGACUGAGACACGGCCCAGACUCCUACGGGAGGCAGCAGUAAGGAAUAUUGCGCAAUGGACGAAAGUCUGACGCAGCAACGCCGC
This 353-nucleotide ribosomal RNA is filed under the name uncultured bacterium. RNAcentral describes it as "bacterial SSU rRNA". It matches the Rfam family "Bacterial small subunit ribosomal RNA", at positions 28 to 400 of the family's 1533-position model. The record is from RNAcentral.